AUCUUAACAGCAUCAGUUCCUUCACCAUGGAACUUCUUUUCCAAAAAAAAUGCCUUAAGAUACAUGAACAUCUUAUGUCUAUCAAGAAGAUAGAAGACAUAUCCUUAAUAUAAUAUUUAUUAGAUUAAGAUCCAUGCUAGUCGGUUUGUGGAUAUUUUAUAUAAGUCCGACACUCCAAAUAAGGGAGUAUCGAAUUACCCA
This 201-nucleotide long non-coding RNA is filed under the name Elaeis guineensis (African oil palm). Its description in RNAcentral is "long non-coding RNA (EGUI_LNC052914)". The record is from RNAcentral. Lineage: Eukaryota; Viridiplantae; Streptophyta; Magnoliopsida; Arecales; Arecaceae.